This is a long non-coding RNA of Hyaena hyaena (striped hyena), 360 nucleotides long. RefSeq lists it as uncharacterized. The record is from RefSeq and is a predicted model, not a curated record. NCBI's taxonomy places the organism in Eukaryota, Metazoa, Chordata, Mammalia, Carnivora, Hyaenidae. The transcript is spliced from 3 exons.
CCCACUCUCCAGAAACCUUCAAGGAACAGCCCUAGGGCAGCAAAUGGUCACCCACAAGCUCCUGGUUGACACUUGGGUAGAUGCAUAGAGCUGCAUUCAGGCAAGAAACCGGAGCUGAGGAGACCAGGCAAUGUCUGCUGUGUGGUUAGCACAGCGAUCACAGCCACACGCCGCGGACGGAAGCCAGCCCGCAGAGCUGCCCCUCCCCCAGUCCUUUCCUGGGAAUCCAGUGUGGUCAGCAGAGCCUUUGGAAACUGGAAUGGUUUGGAGAGGAGCUGGAGUUGCUUGCUUGGAUCGUUGCCAGUGCGGGAGCCUGGAAGCUCUGAUGGCUGUCCCGGUCACCGAGGUCUGGCCGCCGAC